Molecule: transfer RNA, 72 nt
Filed under: Minisyncoccota bacterium
Lineage: Bacteria; Bacillati; Minisyncoccota
Description: tRNA-Arg
Rfam family: tRNA
About the family: Transfer RNA (tRNA) molecules are approximately 80 nucleotides in length. Their secondary structure includes four short double-helical elements and three loops (D, anti-codon, and T loops).
Source: RNAcentral
GCUCCUAUAGUUUAACGGAUAAAACAUCAGUUUCCGGAACUGAAAAUGGGGGUUCGAUUCCCUCUAGGAGCA